CCAGACUCCUACGGGAGGCAGCAGUGGGGAAUAUUGCACAAUGGGGGAAACCCUGAUGCAGCGACGCCGCGUGGAGGAAGAAGGUCUUCGGAUUGUAAACUCCUGUCCUUGGGGACGAUAAUGACGGUACCCAAGGAGGAAGCACCGGCUGACUACGUGCCAGCAGCCGCGGUAAAACGUAGGGUGCAAGCGUUGUCCGGAAUUACUGGGUGUAAAGGGAGCGCAGGCGGAUUGACAAGUUGGGAGUGAAAACUACGGGCUCAACCCGUAACCUGCUUUCAAAACUGUCAGUCUUGAGUGGUGUAGAGGUAGGCGGAAUUCCCGGUGUAGCGGUGGAAUGCGUAGAUAUCGGGAGGAACACCAGUGGCGAAGGCGGGUUCCUGGACAUUAACUGACGCUGAGGCACGAAGGCCAGGGGAGCGAAAGGGAUUAGAUACCCUUGUACU
RNAcentral lists this ribosomal RNA (446 nucleotides) under uncultured bacterium. Its description in RNAcentral is "bacterial SSU rRNA". It matches the Rfam family "Bacterial small subunit ribosomal RNA", at positions 331 to 794 of the family's 1533-position model. The record is from RNAcentral.